Molecule: ribosomal RNA, 426 nt
Filed under: uncultured bacterium
Lineage: Bacteria
Description: bacterial SSU rRNA
Rfam family: Bacterial small subunit ribosomal RNA
Source: RNAcentral
GUGGGGAAUAUUGCACAAUGGGGGAAACCCUGAUGCAGCAACGCCGCGUGAAGGAUGAAGGUUUUCGGAUCGUAAACUUCUUUGAUGAGGGACGAAAAAUGACGGUACCUCAAAAACAAGCCACGGCUAACUACGUGCCAGCAGCCGCGGUAAUACGUAGGUGGCGAGCGUUGUCCGGAUUUACUGGGUGUAAAGGGCGUGUAGGCGGGAAUGUAAGUCAGAUGUGAAACUCCGGGGCUCAACUUCGGAACUGCAUCUGAAACUAUGUUUCUUGAGUGCUGGAGAGGAAAGCGGAAUUCCUAGUGUAGCGGUGAAAUGCGUAGAUAUUAGGAGGAACACCAGUGGCGAAGGCGGCUUUCUGGACAGUAACUGACGCUGAGGCGCGAAAGCGUGGGGAGCAAACAGGAUUAGAAACCCGGGUAGUCC